CCCCCCCCUUCUCCUUCCCCGCCGCACGCCUCGCGACGCCGCCUUCCCCGACGCCCCCUCCUCCCUCGCGACGCCGCCUCCCCGCGGCGCCCUCCGCCCCAACUCGCGGCCCUUGCGACGCGCCGUCUCCCAUGGUUGCCGUCCCCGUCGCCGUCGCCGUCGCCUGCGUGCCCCGACGGCACUGCGACGGUUCUACGGCUUCCCCUUUCCUCCCCGCCGCCCGGCUCCUACCCCGACUUCCAGCGCCUCCUCCCGAGCGUGAACUGCGUUCGCCCAUCCCGCCGCCUUCUCUCCCGAGCGUGAACUCCGCCUGGGCCAUCACGACGACGACGCGGCCGCGCUCGCCCAUCCCGCCGCCUUCUUCAUCGACCCUGGUGAGUUCACUAGGAAUGCGCGUUAGAUCCACCCAUCAUUGCUGAUGAGCCGAAUGAAACAAUCGACGCAAGAGAGGGGAGGAUGGGAUCGGAGGGCCGCGUACCUGGCGGCGACUUCACGGAGGAGGCCGGCACCAGCGGCGGGUCCCGCACACGCCGCCCCUCUCUCCCACUCUCGGACUCUCCCCGUCAGUGCCCAUGGAAUCACAUCCACUGAUCCACCUCAUCUUCGUCGGCGGCGCCGACCCUGGCACCGGCACCGCGCCGCAGUCCGCCGACCCUGGCCGCCGCGGGCGAGGGCCUCUCCGGCUCUGGCGCCGCCACUGAGGACCCCGUCCUCAUCCGCGUCCUCCCCGGAGCCGUCGGCCGUGGCGUCUCCUCUAUCCCGCCCCACCCAUGUCCUCCGCCUCCUUCCUCUCUCCCCUCUCUCUACGGCCCCCAUUCGGCUUCGGGCCUCGGAGUUGGAGAGCAGCUCCAGCCAAGGAAUGGAGAUUGCGGCACUGUCUCGUGCUUCAGAAAUGAUCCGGAUGUUCCAACGACAUCUGACUAUGAUGGUGGCUUCAAGUAUAUUGCCCAAUCAGAGAGCUCCAGUGCUGUGGCGGCAAAAGAGGAGGAGGUGGGAAGUUCAAAUGGGGAGCAGGAGUGAAAUUUCAAGGACAUGGGUUGGUUCCUGCAAGUGCAGAAGGCAAGUAUGUCUUCUUUACUGCAUCCUAACCUGCGUGUAUUUUUCUUAGAAUUUACUUGAUGUAGAUGUAGAAAAUAUCUCUAAGCAAUUCCAUUUCCUCCUCUCCUCUACAUUUCUAGCUUGGCAUUUCACUUGCAUUCCAUUACGUUUAAUUGCUGGAGCAUAGUACUUACUUUGUUAAACAAUAUUAUUCUGCUUCAUGCUACUGUGGAAAUUUGCUUGGCAUUUCACAUGUGUUGUCUGUAACAUGUCCUCUUUUACUACAAUAAAUGUACAGAUCUUAGCAACCAUUAACAUGAGUUUCAGUCUCAGUUUUCGCAUAGACUAAAGAGGUAGUCUUUUUGAAUAAUUUUACAACAUGAUCUAUGUUUGAGUGAUUUAAACAUUCUUUUUUACAAUUUAUAAACUUAUUUUCUGUGAUCAGUAUUGGUCACAUAUUAGUUCUGGUCACACUACUGUGGCAGCAAUCAUUCCCAUUGAAACUGAAGUUUUACAUUCAGGUCAGUCUUCUUUUUUACUUCCCACCUUUCUGUCUAAUAACUCAUUCAUAAUGAAUGAGUUGGUUCACACAUUAAGUGUAUUGAGUAUUAGAAAAGAAAUUUCAGUCAAACUAUGAUUUGAGUGAAAAUAAUUUUUUAGCUCCCUUUCGCAAUUUUGUGUGUACCAAGAGAUAAUUCACACAUUAGUGGUUUGGGCACUCUGAUUACUUUUGAAGAAAGUGGUGCUAGGUCAUGUCUCAAGAAAAGAAACUGUACUCAAGUCAAGUGUAUUGAGUAUUAGAAAAGAAAUUUCAAGUCAUCAGGGAGCAAUGCCUGGUUCAUCUGUCAACAUGAUAGUGACAUAGAUCAUUAUUAUUGAAGUCAUCAAGGAGGAAAUACUUCACUGAUCUAUUGAAUAGGAGUCUGCUAGAAGGUGGAUUUUUAUGCAGUUGCACAUAAGUCUGCAGCCCUGCCCUCGUGAAGGAAGUGUAAGCUGUGUUGGCCCUGGCCGCCCGGUGAAGGAGCUUGGUCACCACCGGAGACGAGGACUACAAGUGGGGCAUUGACUAAAGUGAUCAGCCUGCGAAUGGAAUUUGUGAUUUUUGUGCUUCGCCUGAGGAAUAGCAGUGAAAAUGUGAAAUCGAUAGAGGAAGAAGGUGAUUUGCAGAAUAGGAGAGGAUGUUCAUAGGAAAGAAAUACCUCAUUUCAUUUUGCUCUUUUAACGAUUUCACAUGUCAUUUAAUCAAUCCACACUAUUUUUGUUUUGGAGCUGGCCAGUGAUAAAUGCAUACUGUUUUCAUGGCAACAUUUCUAGCCCGCUGUCUAUAUUAUAAAGCUGGUUUUCCUGUUGCUUGAUUGCGUUGUGAACAUCUUUAGGGGAUAUCGAAUCUCUGCCAUUUAUCAAAGAUUUCAUGUCAAUUGUCCUAUACUAUCAUGUAGUGGGAACUUCAUAUUCUUGUGACAAUGCUUCUCAAGUUAGCACCUGAAAUUGAUGAACCUUUUUUCCUUGUGGUAACUUAUUUACUUUGUUCUCCCAUUUUCCUGUGCAGAAUUUUAGAGAGUAAAAGAACUGAGCCAUGACAGUAGGGAGUCCCAGCAAUACUGUCUCAACAUACCAACAAGCUAAAGUUAAUUUCCUGAUAUUGUGACUGAGUAGAGAUGUCUGGGAAAUUUGUACUCAAUAGUCAAUGCUCUUUUUAACACCCAGAGUGAUUGAUAGUAAUAUUUGAGAAACUUGGAGCCACGGACACUUAUAACAUGUCUUUGGAUAAAGCUGGGAUGGGAGUAAUAAUAGCAUUACUUGAAACUAGAAGUAGUAAUAGCAUAACUUGAAACUAGGAGUAGUACCAGCAUAACUUGAAGUUCUUUCAGCAAGAGUGUCAGGUCCAAAUUUGUCCUAUCUCGUGUGAUUAGUGUAGUCUAAAAUUUUUUGCCAAGCAUUUAAACUAAAGGUUGGCGCGCAGGCAAUAAUAUAAACAAAAAACUAAGUUAUAUGGAUUUAAGGGACAGUUUUGAAAUUAGGAAGUAAAUGGGAAUUAGUAAUUAAAUAUUGUGCAAGAGUGAUGUCAUCAAGAUAUAAUUAAGAAAUAAUUAAAUAAAUAAGUAAAACAAGUAACGUAUGCAAGAAUUAUAUUUUAUAUUAUAGUUGAAAUAAAAGAUGAUAGCUUUUACCGAUCAAAGACAGAUAGUGCAGCUCACAAGAUUUCUAAAAUUUGAAUAUAAUUGAAUACAUCGAACAUCAAAAUUGUUUUGCUAAAAGAAAAAUUCAUGUCUACUCCAUAGGCAUGACAUUAAUGGGUAUUGAACUUGUACGCAGUAUGGAGGCAUUGUGCCUGGCAGAUUUGCAGAAGAAAUGACGAUGGCAUUAUUUGGUCAUGUGCAUAUAACACAUGCACAUGGCCAUGGUUGAUUACACUUCUAUCGUUGCACGCGAUGGCUCGGUGUCAGUGGCUUAUGACUAUUCACGAUGGCAACUGAGCAGCAUGCAUCGAUAAUGAAAGUGUUCGACAAUACAGGAGGCAUGCGGUGACGCAUAUAUGAGGUGAGCAGUGGUGCGGAUGGGGGAUGCAUGGCCAGCGAGCGGUGGGAAAGCAUGCGGCAAGCUAGAUGUUGCCUGUCGAGGCCCUAGGGAAGAAUGCAACUUGGCCUCCUACUCGGCGAGGGCUAUUGGAGUGUUAUCCUGCUAUAGUUUGUGAGACUCAUUCCACAUUGUGCCACGUACGAAAGGUUUGGUAGUUGUUGGGGGUGUGAGGUGAACGGAGCAUCCAGCCAAACAGUUCAUGACAUCACGAAAAAGAGCACAAUCGGAGGCGACUACUCAAUUAUAUACUGUCGUACCUGCAUGCUUUCUACAAGAUUUGUGGAGACGCGCCUUAUUUCUUUGCUAAAUGCGGGGACAUUUCGAUCUUCACGCAUGUUUGGUCGUGUUACUCAUAAACUUUAUACUUGUUAUUUCUCAAUUAGUUAUUUUCAUAACCUAUGAGUGAGACUCAUUCCACAUUGCGUGACACACAAAGAUUUGGUUGCCAUUGAGGUGUGAGGUGAAUGGAAAUUUUGGCAGUUUCAA
This is an RNA transcript of Panicum virgatum (switchgrass), 4104 nucleotides long. It is a transcript of the gene named transmembrane protease serine 13-like, with no coding region annotated. The transcript has 5 exons. The record is from RefSeq and is a predicted model, not a curated record. Lineage: Eukaryota; Viridiplantae; Streptophyta; Magnoliopsida; Poales; Poaceae.